UCAGAUUAUAAUUAUUUACUAAUUGUUUUUUUAAAUUUUAAUUUACAUUUAAUUUGAUUAAUUUAAAAAGUUAAUUAUUCAAAAAAUUAUCUUUAAAAUCACUAUCGAAAAAUUCCGAUAUUUGCUAAUAUUUUUUCACUCCCGAGGUUUUAUUUAUAAAAAAUAAUACGAACUUUAUCAUAAAAUAAACAAUUUGUUCAACGCAUUGCAAGUGCUGCAUUUUCAAAAUGCUCUUGAACAUCAAUCCGCAAAAAGGACAAAUUAAGACGGACAAUGUAAAACAAGCACCACA
Leptopilina heterotoma is the source of this 292-nucleotide long non-coding RNA. RefSeq lists it as uncharacterized. The record is from RefSeq and is a predicted model, not a curated record. Lineage: Eukaryota; Metazoa; Arthropoda; Insecta; Hymenoptera; Figitidae. The transcript has 2 exons.